CUCCGAUGAUGAUACAGCCAUGCUAAUACUGAUACACCUUCCUGAGUGUAAGUGAGUUCAACUCACCUUCUCACGCUGAUUGUAUCGGUGUGGGCUGAGGAGA
Molecule: small nucleolar RNA, 103 nt
Filed under: Cyclopterus lumpus (lumpfish)
Lineage: Eukaryota; Metazoa; Chordata; Actinopteri; Perciformes; Cyclopteridae
Source: RNAcentral